Molecule: transfer RNA, 85 nt
Filed under: Candidatus Avitreponema avistercoris
Lineage: Bacteria; Pseudomonadati; Spirochaetota; Spirochaetia; Spirochaetales
Description: tRNA-Ser
Rfam family: tRNA
About the family: Transfer RNA (tRNA) molecules are approximately 80 nucleotides in length. Their secondary structure includes four short double-helical elements and three loops (D, anti-codon, and T loops).
Source: RNAcentral
GGAGCGGUGUCCGAGCGGUUUAAGGAGGCGGUCUUGAAAACCGUUGUGCCGGAAGGUACCGGGGGUUCGAAUCCCCCCUGCUCCG